AGCUCCACAAGACUACCCCCUUCACAUGCCAGCAGCAAAUAUGGGGCCCAAGUUACCCACAUUUCUGCCCAGCUGACUACAAAUUCUGGUUUCCAUGACCCCCUCUCAGGUGACCAGUCCGCAUCCUGAUACUAUCUCGGAGUCCCCCAGCCAAGAAUCAUCUCAUCAGCAUAAACUCAGGCAAUGUUGAAAGGCAUUCAGAAUGGUACUGGCCAUGUAACAUCCUCAGGAAAAUGGAGAAAGGAGUCACAUCAUCUUCUGUGUUUGGAGACUGCUAUGUAAGCCAGAAUACUAGUCACACAGUGCAGGUGGGAGCGGCCGGGAAGUAACCUCCUUUUUUUUUAAGACUAAUACAUUUAUG
This 361-nucleotide long non-coding RNA is filed under the name Homo sapiens (human). RNAcentral's name for it is "HSALNT0348704". Lineage: Eukaryota; Metazoa; Chordata; Mammalia; Primates; Hominidae. The record is from RNAcentral.